AUUCCAGUCUCCACUGUUUCAUCUGAGUCAGCAUUCAGCACUGGUGGUAGAGUUGUGGAUCAGUAUCGAAGCUCUUUGAGCCCUUCUACCGUAGAAGCCUUAGUGUGUACCCAAGAUUGGCUUCGUGAACAAUAUGAUGAAGUUGCAAAUUGCUCGAGUUCUGUAACGUUGAAUGUAGAUGACGACACCCUGGACUCCUGGAGUGGGCAAUUUGGGAGAACUGAAUGACGAUACCCUCAUCAGAUCUAGUUCAUACCUAAAGUAUCAAGUAUGAAGCUUGAAGCUGACUUCAGGGGGUUUCUCUAUUACAUGGAUAUGAUGAAUAUACUAUUGUGCAGGGAACAACGACUUCAGGCCGAUGAUUUUUUUUAUCCUCCUGUUUUUGAUGGAAUCCUUUUGUUUGGUUUCAGUUGUAUCGUUGCAGUUGGUUGCAUGGAAUGAAUUUUUUUGCAAGUUAUCUUCAAACCAUCAGAUGCUAUUUUGUUAAUGAUCUGUCUGAUUGCCUACUUGGUCCAUCUUAUAUUUGAUUUAAGUUGAAUAGGUUGUUUGCUUGUCGACAUUUUUGCUUGUAUGUUUACAAGAGCAGCAUAUGGAACCACUCAGGGGAAUGACAUUAUAAAGCUGAAUUUUGAUCCGUAUAUCUACUGUUUCUUUGUGGUUCUUUAAAGGUAAGUGCACUAUUAUCCAUUGCUGGGUUGCUUCAGUGACUUUAUGAUGAACCAUGGAACCAGCUGUAGUUCCAGGAGAGCAGAAAAUUGGGUGGCAGGUUUGGUCUUCAAGUGAUUUUAGAAUGUCCAAUAAGGAAACCAUUUUCUAUUGGCACAAUGGGUUGCCACAAUGUUAUGUCCCAAUAAUUGUUAUUGAUCAAUGUUUUAUUUUUAAUAUCUUUCAUAUUAUUGCUCUUUCUUGGUUUCUGGAGUGUAUACUGAGAUGAAACAAAUAUUUCUCAGGAGAUUCUAUUUCAUCACGCUCUCCAAAUGUAUCUAAACCUCCACAACUGUCGCCUUUAACAAUUUUAGGUCUGCAACUACCUGCACGCCCAUUAAAACAGAUUAGCUUUUUCAGUGGCAAGAAGGAGGUUCAGAGCUCUGCAACUGUUCUUGGUUAUGUUGCACAUGCUGUAUUGCUUAUUGCAUCGUACCUUGAUGUUCCUGUACGAUAUCCUUUGCGCUUGGGAGGCUCACGUUCAUAUAUUCAUGACUAUGCUCCUUCAGUUGAGUCUAUAUCAUCAGAUUUGUCAGCAAAUCCAAUUCUUAUGGGCAUGAAUGUAAAGCCUACAGAAUUUCCACUCUUUCUGGAAGGCCAAGAUUCUACAAGAGCAGCAUAUGCAAUAUUUUUGUUGAAUAAGGUUCAUCUUCUAUGCUUUAUUGUGCUUCUGUCUCUCUGUUUAAGGUAGAAGUUGGCAUCAAUAUGUAUCUCCAUAUGUUGCUACCAAUAGGUUUGUCUAAAUCUAACAAGUAUUGGAAG
Non-coding RNA from Phoenix dactylifera (date palm), 1467 nucleotides. Lineage: Eukaryota; Viridiplantae; Streptophyta; Magnoliopsida; Arecales; Arecaceae. The record is from RefSeq and is a predicted model, not a curated record.